Molecule: ribosomal RNA, 436 nt
Filed under: uncultured bacterium
Lineage: Bacteria
Description: bacterial SSU rRNA
Rfam family: Bacterial small subunit ribosomal RNA
Source: RNAcentral
UGAGGAAUAUUGGUCAAUGGGCGAGAGCCUGAACCAGCCAAGUAGCGUGAAGGAUGACUGCCCUAUGGGUUGUAAACUUCUUUUAUAAAGGAAUAAAGUCGGGUAUGUAUACCCGUUUGCAUGUACUUUAUGAAUAAGGAUCGGCUAACUCCGUGCCAGCAGCCGCGGUAAUACGGAGGAUCCGAGCGUUAUCCGGAUUUAUUGGGUUUAAAGGGAGCGUAGAUGGAUGUUUAAGUCAGUUGUGAAAGUUUGCGGCUCAACCGUAAAAUUGCAGUUGAUACUGGAUAUCUUGAGUGCAGUUGAGGCAGGCGGAAUUCGUGGUGUAGCGGUGAAAUGCUUAGAUAUCACGAAGAACUCCGAUUGCGAAGGCAGCCUGCUAAGCCAUGACUGACGCUGAUGCACGAAAGCGUGGGGAUCAAACAGGAUUUAGAUACCC